GUAGGUAACCUACCUUUAUGACUGGGAUAACCACGGGAAACCGGGGCUAAUACCGGAUAAGAUUUAGCUUCGCAUGAAGCAGAAGUAAAAGGCAGUUUCGGCUGUCACAUAAAGAUGGACCUGCGGCGCAUUAGCUAGUUGGAGAGGUAAGAGCUCCCCAAGGCGACGAUGCGUAGCCGACCUGAGAGGGUGAUCGGCCACACUGGGACUGAGACACGGCCCAGACUCCUACGGGAGGCAGCAGUAGGGAAUCUUCCGCAAUGGACGAAAGUCUGACGGAGCAACGCCGCGUGAGUGAAGAAGGUUUUCGGAUCGUAAAGCUCUGUUGUAAGGAAGAACACCAUGGAUAGGAAAUGAUCGAUGGAUGACGGUAC
Molecule: ribosomal RNA, 374 nt
Filed under: uncultured bacterium
Lineage: Bacteria
Description: bacterial SSU rRNA
Rfam family: Bacterial small subunit ribosomal RNA
Source: RNAcentral